AGAAAUUUGUGAACAUCCUGUAACUCCUCCAUGAUGACAUGAUGGCAACAGUCUUGGACAGCAAUGGCUUCCAAAGUGACCCAUUUAAGGUAUAAUCAGGGGUCAAACAGGGAUGUGUUAUUGUCCCAACCUUAAUCUCGAUCUUCAUUACUAUGAUAUUUCACCUUGUUGAUGGAAAGCAUCCCACUGGCAUGAAAACUACCUAUUGGAGAGAUGGCAAGUUAUUUAACCCCAACAGACUGAAAGCCAAAACCAAGGUCACAACAACAAGACCUGGGUCAUGACUUGAAAUGCACUUUUUUAAAUGGGUGUUUAAAUGGAUGUUUUAAUUAAUGUUUAAUUUGUUUUAAUUGUAAUUGUUUUGAAUAUUAUGUUUUCUAGCAUCUAAUGAUUGCUGAUUGUGAGGCUGCCCUGCAUCCCCUGUCAGGGGUGAGAAGGAUGGGAUAUAAAUGUCUGAAAUAAAUAAAUACAGAACUUCAAUAUGCUGAUGAUAAUGUGGUCUGUGCUCAUUCAGAAGAAGACCUGCAAGCCACUCUAAACAUCUUUGUAAAAGCCUAUGAAAAACUUGGUCUCUCACUAAACAUUGAGAAAACCAAAGUGCUCUUUCAGCAGGCACCAGCCAAUCCCUCUACAAUGCCAGAAAUAUAGCUUAAUGGUGUAAUGUCAGAAAAUGUUGACUAUCUCCACUACCUUGGCAGCCACCUAUCCACAAAAGUCAACAUUGGCACUGAAAUACAACAUCAUUUGAGCUCUGCGAGUGCAGCAUUUUUCCUAAUGAAGCAGAGAGUGUGUGAGGAUCAGGACAUUUGUAGGGAGGCAAAAAUGCUUUUUUAUAAGCCAUUGUCUUCCCCAUCGUGUUAUACGCUUGUGAAACAUGGACCAUUUACAGAUGUCACACUUAACUUCUGGAAAAAUUCCAUCAGUGUUGCCUCAAAAAAAAAAAAUCCUGCAAAUCUCUUGGGAAGACAGGUGGACAAAUGUCAGCAUUCUGGAAGAAGCAAAGACCACCAGCACUGAACUGAUAAUCCUCCACCAUCAACUUCGAUGGACUGGCCACGUUGUCUGAAUGCCUGAUCACCACCACCCAAAGCAGUUACUAAACUCCCAACUCAAGAAUGAAAAAUGAAAUGUUGUUGGACAGGAAAAGAGAUUUUAAAAUGAGUUAUGGAAUUUGAAGAGACAUGAAUGGAGGGUGAAAGGGAGAAAUGCAUUAAGAGGAAGGUAUGUCAAACCAACCCUGAAUGGGACUGCCUCCAUCUAGAAAUCACUGUGUAAGAACAUGCAGAUCAAGAAUAGGUCUUUACAGUCACCUGUGGAACCACCACCAAGACACUAGACUUGGAAAACAAUCAUACUCGGACAAGAGUAAUCACCGAUGAUGUGGUCAGUGUAGAUUAGUCCUUUUACUGAGCAUUACUAUCUUCUUCAGUUAGUCAUACUGUCAUGAUAUGUCAAAAAUAUGACAGACUCGGUUUAAUCAUUUGCUUUCUUAUUUGCUUGAUUUGCUACUGGAUCUCCUUUCUUUCUUUCUUUCUUUCUUUCUUUCUUUCUUUCUUUCUUUCUUUCUUUCUUUCUUUCUUUCUUUCUUUCUUUCUUCUUUUGGCACCUAUAGAACUAUAUUUAACUACAUUUUAUCAGCUUUUUCAGUGUCAAGCUUCCAUAUACAUACAUAGACAUUGGGAAUAUUACAGCAUAGAUGACCCUAACCAGUAAAUAGGUGUUAUUUCACAUUUAUUCAUCUAGUUUCUAAGAUUGCUCUCUUGAAGGUAAAAAGUCAAUCAGGGAAGAACAAGAGGCAAACCAACAAUCCACUGGGAAAUACAAUUUUGUGACUUUCACAGCUGAAUUAUACAAAAGCAAAAUCACCACCCCCAGCCUCUCAAACACCACUUUCCCAUCCUCAGCAGAUGGGGAAAAUGCAUAGCGCUCGGAAGGCAAGUGUGUUCUGCACUUUAAUUAGCGUGUAGCAAAAGGAUCCCCCACAGCAAGAGCUUUUCAAUGGCUAAUGAAAAGAGGAGUCAGUCACACUGUUCCAUGGCUCCAAUUAGCCCCUCCAAGUAAACAAGGGUCCAUUUCCAGCUGCAGGCUUUCCAUAUGCCGAGUGGAAGAAGAUGACAAAGUGAUAAUGAAACUCGGAGCACAUAUCAAUAAACCAGAAAGUCUAGUGCUCAUUUUCCCCAUCACACCUAGUGUCAUUUUGCAUUCAAGAGAGAAGAAACUAAAUGUCAGGCAACAAAUUAAUCAACAACCCAGAAAACUGAGAUAAGUUACAAGGUCUAUUUGUGUAGGAUGCAAUCCAUAAGGUGGAUUUGAGUUUAUUGCCCAAUGAAGAGACAGGCAGGAAUAAUAAUAAUUAAAAAAAACAGAAGAUAAAUCAUGGAUGGAUGGAUGGAUGGAUGGAUGGACAGAUAAACAUAUAGAUUUAAGUUAUUUGUUCACCAUUUCUGAAACAUUCCUGAGGAGAGAUAUAGUGAGUAAAAACAAUAAAAAGUAUAAAUACAUGACUUAAAACAGUUAAAAACAAGCCAAAACUCUUAUUUUAAAGUAUGUGUCAGAGCAUUAGGAAGCAUGUUGUCCUACAGCUUCUUCAUGAUGUUAAAUGACAUGGACCAACACACAUUUUUGUGCCUCAAAUGUUAGACCUGUUUUUGGGUAUAUUUGACCUGCUGAUUCCAAAAAUUGCAGUUUCCUCCUAUCAGCUCUAGUUUUUGUGAUACACAGCAUAUUCAAUACCCCAGUUGCCAUUGCUAAUGCCAUCUGCCCACACAUAGAACCAUAACCAUAUUUAAGAAACUAGAGCUGAUGCAAUCUAUCCAAUGCAGUUUUCUGAAUCAGUACCCCAAACACACUUGGGAACAGACCUAAAAACGAAGACACCAAGCAUUGCUUUUGUUGGGCUGUGUAAUCACUAGUCAAUAGGUAGCUCUACACUGUAGAGUUAAAGAACAUUUGAAUGAAAUUGUAACGACAACAUAAAAACUCACUUUGAGGAUGGAAACUGCGGGGAAGUUAAUGCGCCCCAUGGGCUUCACCAGCCCAAGAGCACAGGGAAGUAUCUUGCUUUCCAGCCAUAUACAAACCAGAAAUGACACAAUUGAUUUUCUCAUGACUAUUUGGCUUAGCUGGCAUAUAAAAACUUAAGUGUUGAGGGGAUUGGGGGAAGUUUAGGAGGUGUAGGAGGGAGGCUUUGCAGAUCUUAACUAAUGUGAAUGUAGAUCUCAUGUAAAAUUCACCCCAGAAUCAUGAUUCCAGCUACGCAGUUGAAUAUCACUGGAUAGUAUCUAACCAUUCAUCAGUGUCUUCACGGUACCAUUUUGUUCACUGGGAUUUCAGAAACAGCCACUGUAUGUUCCUCAAUGUUCAAAGAGAUAAUGUUGUCAAUAGUUGUUUGUUGCACAACAUCAGCCUUCAGCAAAAGGAUAGUAUAGAUUAGCAACCAUGUAACUACACAAGUAUAGAUUUAUAGUAUGCAUGGGAUAGGAUCUUGUCUCAAGUUUUAUGAUUUGGGAUUUCAUAGAAUCACAGAAUCAUAGAGUCAUAGAGUUGGAAGAGACCUCAUGGGCCAUUCAGCCUGCCAAGAAGCAGAAAAGCAAAAAACAAAAACAAAAAAACCCCCUGAUUUUAAAAAAAUCAAAUUCACCAUAUGUUAAUUAUUCAGUCACGAAGCAGAAUUACAAAACAAUGCAGCACAAAUCAGCAGAUGGCACUGUUUGCCUCACAUUUUUGAUUCAUAAACUUACAUAUUACAGAGAAGUGGGUCAAGGAAGCAAAGACUAGCUCUGAGGCUGUGUCUGCACAAACACCCUCUCUAUUCACUGUUUAAGGCUGUGCUUCUUAAAGCAUUGUUGCUGUCAAAGCAGUGUAAGCCUAGAGCUUUGUGCUUUCUUUCUUUCACAGAUUGGGUCUGUCCUCUCACAGCAAAAACCUUGUUCUUCCCAUUCAGAAUAGGCGUUGCUAACUUCUGUCAGGAAUGCCUGCAUUUAUUAACUUAAGGAGUUGCUGUUGUUGUGCAUGGUAGACCUCUUGGGAACCCAUUUUAGAUUAAUAUGGAAACAAUUGAAAAUCUCUGUUUUGGCUGGCCUGUAAUCGGGAAAGACUAGAUCAGUAAUUUGAAGCAAACUACAAGGAGCUCAGCAAAAAUACUCUAUCACAAUCCUUACCAGCUCCCUCAGCUUCUAUGCAAAACCCCCAAAUUCUCCCUUCCCAUUUACUUUGCAAAUGGUACCAAUGACAAGGCUUGGAUGUAUUAGUCAAGUGGUGGGUUGGUUGAUAUGUAUGUUGACCCCUCUAGGUAAUGUGCCUUCAAGUCAUUUCCAACUUUUGGUGAUCCUAAGGUGAGGUUAUCACAGGGCUUUCUGGGGCUGAGAUUGUAACUUGCCCAAGGUUACCCAGUGGAUUUUCAUGGCUGAGUGGGAAUUUGAACAUGGUCUCUAGAGUUAUAGUCUUACACUCAGACUACUAUACCGCAAUCUAAUUGGAGUACUGCUCCAAAGUAAAACAUCCCAGGGGAUGUUGCAAAAACUUUUCAGGAGAAUGAUCUCUCCCAAGAUGUGUCAGGGAUAUGCAUUGCGUAACUCAGAGCUGUGAAGAAGAAGGAAGGCAUCCAGGAAAAUCUUCCUCAGGUCUUCAUGAACAUCUCCAAACUGGUUGCCACCAGCUUGAAAGUCUGAUGAAGGAAAGUAGAUACGAAGAUGGUGAAUAGCACUUUGAAGAAUACAAUGUCUUUCAGAGACUGCUCGACAACCCUUAUUGAGAUAAGCUUCGAGGAAAAAAAACAGGAGAGGAAAGGGCAGAGGGGAGUCAGCAAAUGCAGCUGCAUCAUGGAACAUGAUGGAAAAAGAAGACACCGGAGAGGGCUUGGAUGGAAAUGAACAGUUAAAUAUUUUAAGCAGCAACCUAUUAUGCUCUUAGACCCAGGCCUAGGGAAUCACACUUUAUUUCUGCUCCUCUGAUCAGUGGCACAAUCUAAAUGUGGGCUUUCAUGUGCUCUUUUCACCACUCGUUAUACAACACUGUAAAUCUAGAAUUUGAAAGAUCGACAUGCUGAAUGGUGUUAAGGAACCAAAUUUAAGAAACACUGUCAGGGAUAUGAAUUCUGACAAUCUAGUUGUCCCCCUACUAGUACAUUAGUGACUACUGAUCAGUUUGUGAAUUGUGAUCACUACAACACACAUGCACACAGUAUUUACAUACAUUAUUCCCAUCCCCAAUGACAGAUUCUUUAUAGAGGCAAAAAUGGCCAUCCCAAUUGUAUUUGUUUUUGCUGUUCAUUCAUAGAAUCAUAGAGCUGGAAGAGACCUUGUGGGCCAUCCAGUCCGACCCUCUGCCAAGAAGCAGGAAAACUGCAUUCAAAGCACCCCUGAUAGAUGGCCAUCCAGCCUCUGCUUAAAAGCCUUCCAAAAAGGAGCCUCCACCACAUUCCUUUGAAUGCAUUCAUGAUUGGGAUUAUCUCUCUCUGUGUUUCUCUCUCUCAUAUGUCUUGUAAAUAUAUAGAUUUCUCAAGCCAGGUGGACUUUGCCUGUAGAAAAGCCUCCAAUUGAUCAUUUCAGCAAAGUUCUUUGAAAAACACCAAAAUACUUUGCAUUAUCUACAAACAGGCCACUUGUAGUCUGCAGUCUGUUCUGUGCUAGAACUGUUUGCAUAGCUAUUUAUUGGUUUGCUAGCAUUAACAUUUAUCUUCUAACAGUAAGGGGUCUUAGCGUAUGUCUUCAUUGGCUAGAAACAUAAAAUUGAUCUGGAGUGGACUACUCUGGAUCAACAUCACUGGAGCUGCACUGUAUGCCUCUGAGCCAGUUUGAAAUCUGAAUGGCAGCUGCACUACAUGGUGCUAAGCCUGGCUUGUGGUUGGAUUGGAUUGCAACUACAUUGCUGAGCAACAUCAGGGAUAUUUAUUUAUUUACAGUAUUUAUAUUCCGCCCUUCUCACCCCGAAGGGAACUCAGGGCGGAUCACAAUGUACAUGACAAACAUUCAAUGCUAUUAGACAAACAACACACAAACAGACACAGAGGCUAUUUAACUUUCCAGCUUCUGGCUUUGUGAGAGUAUGCUCAAUUCUGGCCACAGGAGGAACUGCUGCUUAAUUAUCCACUGUGACAAUGAGUCCUUUUGAUGGAGUACUUCCUCAUCUGGCAUGCACGCUGCUGGAUGUUUUUAUGGUGUUGUAAAUUAGUUAAAUUAGCCUCCCCGCUAAUUUAAUUUGGAAUGAAUUACUCUCACUUAGUAUGUAUUUAUUUGACAUUAGGUUAACCACUGACCCUACUGUGACCGUACUCCUAUCUGGACAGUCUGCUACUUCUCAAGAAAUGGACCAAUGAACUUGAUCAGAUGAUUAGCUUGUGCCUGCCUUCUUUUAGUGCAGGACAGACAGAAAAUGGAGGACCUUGUGUGGCUAUAUAUAGACCAAACUUUGCAAAAAGACACGUGAUCCGCUUCCUUCUUCUGUAUGGCUAUGGCUAGGCUAAUGAGGGGAAAAAACUGUGUGCAGCUGCUCUUGUCAGUUAUCAUUAAUUAAUUAUGCCAUUCCCCACCCUCAGGGCAGCAGAGUACAAUAGCACAUUGCUAUUAUUAUCACAAAAAAUAUAGUUCGAAUCAACAGUUUUUCCCCAAAGUUUUAGCCAAGAGAUUAGGCUGCUCGUUUUUCAUUCCAGUAAGGUUCCGAAAGGGUCCUUCCCAGUCUAUUUUCAGUGGCUCGGCUGCUGAAUCAUUGAAAUUAUCUGAAGUCUGAAUCGCCCAAUGGAAUUUUGCACACCCCUAGUGCCUACCCCUUUCCACAAGCUACCGGAGUCCAGGGAAAGUGACAUGGCAGUGUAAACACAGACAGCUCCUUUUUGAAUAGGAAACCACACAGCUGCUUUCACAUCCAAGAAGUUGCAGUUUACUUUAGAUUUUUGGUGAAAAAUUGGAGCAACCUGCAAUUUCUGUCAUCACAGUUUUAAGGCCACCUUAGCCCCCUGUUCAGGGUUUUAUUAGCCCAAAUCAGUUCUGCAGCCACUACAGAACUGAUUCCCCUCUGCCUCUUUGUGGUAAUGGUGUCAGUGAGGAUGCAGCCUAAUUUUCCAGUGCUAAAUCAAGGCUAGGAUCUUGUUAGUCACAUAAACAAGUUUAGCUGAAAUUUGACAUAUGUACUAAGCUCUUCUGGUCAUCACUGAACAAUUAUUUGACAAUUCUCUGUCAACUAAGACAAUAAGAAUUUUAAUCAAUUUUUGGAAUUAAAAUAGCCUCCAUCUGAA
Molecule: long non-coding RNA, 7231 nt
Organism: Anolis carolinensis (green anole)
Lineage: Eukaryota; Metazoa; Chordata; Lepidosauria; Squamata; Anolidae
Exons: 2
Source: RefSeq, a predicted model, not a curated record